RNAcentral lists this ribosomal RNA (274 nucleotides) under uncultured bacterium. RNAcentral describes it as "partial 16S ribosomal RNA". It matches the Rfam family "Bacterial small subunit ribosomal RNA", at positions 523 to 796 of the family's 1533-position model. The record is from RNAcentral.
AUACGGAGGGCGCAAGCGUUGUUCGGAAUCAUUGGGCGUAAAGCGCGCGUAGGCGGCUUGGAAAGUCGGGUGUGAAAUCCCGGGGCUCAACCCCGGAACUGCACUCGAAACUUCCUAGCUAGAGUCUCGGAGAGGUAGGCGGAAUUCCCGGUGUAGAGGUGAAAUUCGUAGAUAUCGGGAGGAACACCAGUGGCGAAGGCGGCCUACUGGACGAUGACUGACGCUGAGGUGCGAAAGCGUGGGGAGCAAACAGGAUUAGAAACCCCGGUAGUCC